Molecule: ribosomal RNA, 497 nt
Filed under: uncultured bacterium
Lineage: Bacteria
Description: partial 16S ribosomal RNA
Rfam family: Bacterial small subunit ribosomal RNA
Source: RNAcentral
GAUGAACGCUGGCGGCGUGCCUAAUACAUGCAAGUCGAGCGAACGGACGAGAAGCUUGCUUCUCUAACGUUAGCGGCGGACGGGUGAGUAACACGUGGAUAACCUACCUAUAAGACUGGGAUAACUUCGGGAAACCGUAGCUAAUACCGGAUAAUAUUUUGAACCGCAUGGUUCAAUAGUGAAAGACGGUCUUGCUGUCACUUAUAGAUGGAUCCGCGCUGCAUUAGCUAGUUGGUAAGGUAACGGCUUACCAAGGCAACGAUGCAUAGCCGACCUGAGAGGGUGAUCGGCCACACUGGAACUGAGACACGGUCCAGACUCCUACGGGAGGCAGCAGUAGGGAAUCUUCCGCAAUGGGCGAAAGCCUGACGGAGCAACGCCGCGUGAGUGAUGAAGGUCUUCGGAUCGUAAAACUCUGUUAUUAGGGAAGAACAUAUGUGUAAGUAACUGUGCACAUCUUGACGGUACCUAAUCAGAAAGCCACGGCUAACUACGUG